AAGGAUUUAAGUUAAAUAGAAACUAGUAGCCUUCAAAGCUAGAAAUAGGGAACGUUCCUAAGCCUUA
RNAcentral lists this transfer RNA (67 nucleotides) under Cnemoplites edulis. RNAcentral describes it as "tRNA-Trp". It matches the Rfam family "tRNA". From Rfam's summary of the family: Transfer RNA (tRNA) molecules are approximately 80 nucleotides in length. Their secondary structure includes four short double-helical elements and three loops (D, anti-codon, and T loops). Further hydrogen bonds mediate the characteristic L-shaped molecular structure. tRNAs have two regions of fundamental functional importance: the anti-codon, which is responsible for specific mRNA codon recognition, and the 3' end, to which the tRNAs corresponding amino acid is attached (by aminoacyl-tRNA synthetases). tRNAs cope with the degeneracy of the genetic code in two manners: having more than one tRNA (with a specific anti-codon) for a particular amino acid; and 'wobble' base-pairing, i.e. permitting non-standard base-pairing at the 3rd anti-codon position. The record is from RNAcentral. Lineage: Eukaryota; Metazoa; Arthropoda; Insecta; Coleoptera; Cerambycidae.